Non-coding RNA from Dipodomys ordii (Ord's kangaroo rat), 70 nucleotides. NCBI's taxonomy places the organism in Eukaryota, Metazoa, Chordata, Mammalia, Rodentia, Heteromyidae. The record is from Rfam.
GGGAAAGUGGCUCAGUGGUAGAGCGCUUGCCUUGCAUGCGUGAGGGUCUGGGUUCGAUUCCUCAGCACCA